This 83-nucleotide microRNA precursor is filed under the name Solanum lycopersicum (tomato). RNAcentral's name for it is "MIR8024 microRNA precursor family". It matches the Rfam family "MIR8024 microRNA precursor family". The record is from Rfam by way of RNAcentral. Lineage: Eukaryota; Viridiplantae; Streptophyta; Magnoliopsida; Solanales; Solanaceae.
AUGAAGUUUGAAGACUUUAACUUGCAUUCUUAAUGAUUUGAAGAAUUCUACUUACAUACUUGGAGGAUUUGUACACUUCAACU